UAGAGUUUGAUCCUGGCUCAGGAUGAACGCUGGCGGCGUGCCUAAUACAUGCAAGUCGAGCGAACAGACGAGGAGCUUGCUCCUCUGACGUUAGCGGCGGACGGGUGAGUAACACGUGGAUAACCUACCUAUAAGACUGGGAUAACUUCGGGAAACCGGAGCUAAUACCGGAUAAUAUAUUGAACCGCAUGGUUCAAUAGUGAAAGACGGUUUUGCUGUCACUUAUAGAUGGAUCCGCGCCGCAUUAGCUAGUUGGUAAGGUAACGGCUUACCAAGGCAACGAUGCGUAGCCGACCUGAGAGGGUGAUCGGCCACACUGGAACUGAGACACGGUCCAGACUCCUACGGGAGGCAGCAGUAGGGAAUCUUCCGCAAUGGGCGAAAGCCUGACGGAGCAACGCCGCGUGAGUGAUGAAGGUCUUCGGAUCGUAAAACUCUGUUAUUAGGGAAGAACAAAUGUGUAAGUAACUAUGCACGUCUUGACGGUACCUAAUCAGAAAGCCACGGCUAACUACGUGCCAGCAGCCGCGGUAAU
Molecule: ribosomal RNA, 535 nt
Filed under: uncultured Staphylococcus sp.
Lineage: Bacteria; Bacillati; Bacillota; Bacilli; Caryophanales; Staphylococcaceae
Description: bacterial SSU rRNA
Rfam family: Bacterial small subunit ribosomal RNA
Source: RNAcentral